ACUGGGUGCGGUGGGGCACGCCUGUAAUCCUAGCAACCUGGGAGGCUGAGGCAGGAGGAUUGUGAGUUCAAAGCCAGCCUCAGCAACUUAGAGAGGCUGUAAGCAACUCAGCCAGACCCUGUCUCUA
This 127-nucleotide small RNA is filed under the name Marmota monax (woodchuck). Lineage: Eukaryota; Metazoa; Chordata; Mammalia; Rodentia; Sciuridae. The record is from RNAcentral.